This 575-nucleotide ribosomal RNA is filed under the name Ravinia stimulans. RNAcentral's name for it is "eukaryotic LSU rRNA". It matches the Rfam family "Eukaryotic large subunit ribosomal RNA", at positions 727 to 1242 of the family's 3401-position model. The record is from RNAcentral. Lineage: Eukaryota; Metazoa; Arthropoda; Insecta; Diptera; Sarcophagidae.
UAUAUGGGAUUAGUUUUUAGAUUAUUUAUAGUCUAUUAAUUCAAUCCCGGGGCGUUCUAUUUGGUUAUGUAUAAUAAUAUUUAUAUUAUUUAUACCUCUAACUAGAGCGUACCUUGAGCAUAUAUGCUGUGACCCGAAAGAUGGUGAACUAUACUUGAUCAGGUUGAAGUCAGGGGAAACCCUGAUGGAAGACCGAAACAGUUCUGACGUGCAAAUCGAUUGUCAGAAUUGAGUAUAGGGGCGAAAGACCAAUCGAACCAUCUAGUAGCUGGUUCCCUCCGAAGUUUCCCUCAGGAUAGCUGGUGCAUUUAGAAAUUAUGUAAAAUAAUCUUAUCUGGUAAAGCGAAUGAUUAGAGGCCUUAGGGUCGAAACGACCUUAACCUAUUCUCAAACUUUAAAUGGGUAAGAACCUCACCUUUCUUGGUAUGAAGGUUGUGGUUGUGAUAUAAUGUGCCCAGUGGGCCACUUUUGGUAAGCAGAACUGGCGCUGUGGGAUGAACCAAACGUAAUGUUACGGUGCCCAAAUUAACAACUCAUGCAGAUACCAUGAAAGGCGUUGGUUGCUUAAAACAGCA